AUUGUCUGAGGCGUUUACAACAUCUUCCUAGACUCGAUUAAGUUAAAGCAAAGUUGAAAAAUAUAGUUUCAGCCGUUGUAAUCUUAGUGAUUGUUAUAGAAGUGUCAAGCAAUAGCUGUAAGGCCAACGGUAUAGAAAAUUACAAAACCCUCCAUUAGACUGUUGCUUGUUGUAAAGUAUCUAACAAGCAAUUUAAUUGGGGUUUAUAGUGAAUACACAAAUAUGAAACUCUUUGCUUUACACUUAACUAACACAAAGAUGUAAAACGUUUAGAUAUUGUUCUUAAGGCAUAUUGAUGACAUCUUUAGUAAUCUGAUUAAAC
Calliphora vicina (urban bluebottle blowfly) is the source of this 322-nucleotide small nucleolar RNA. The record is from RefSeq and is a predicted model, not a curated record. NCBI's taxonomy places the organism in Eukaryota, Metazoa, Arthropoda, Insecta, Diptera, Calliphoridae.